This 247-nucleotide ribosomal RNA is filed under the name uncultured bacterium. RNAcentral describes it as "partial 16S ribosomal RNA". It matches the Rfam family "Bacterial small subunit ribosomal RNA", at positions 86 to 334 of the family's 1533-position model. The record is from RNAcentral.
AGAUGGCGACCGGCGCACGGGUGAGUAACACGUAUCCAACCUGCCGAUAACUCGGGGAUAGCCUUUCGAAAGAAAGAUUAAUACCCGAUGGCAUAAUAGAACCGCAUGGUUUGAUUAUUAAAGAAUUUCAGUUAUCGAUGGGGAUGCGUUCCAUUAGGCAGUUGGUGGGGUAACGGCCCACCAAACCUUCGAUGGAUAGGGGUUCUGAGAGGAAGGUCCCCCACAUUGGAACUGAGACACGGUCCAA